UUUAUUUUCCCUUCUUGCGGCCGUACUUCCGGGGUGGCGAGUGCCAGGAUACCCUCUUGGCUGUCGCGAUGCCUAAAAAGCAUUGCAUAGCAAGGGCCGGGCAAGACCGGUGCCAGCCGCCGCGGUAACACCGGCGGCUCGAGUGGUGACCGCUAUUAUUGGGUCUAAAGGGUCUGUAGCCGGCCGGAUAAGUCUUUUGGGAAAUCCAGCUGCUCAACAGUUGGGCUUUCAGAAGAUACUGUUCGGCUCGAGACCGGGAGAGGUGAGAGGUACUUCAGGGGUAGGGGUGAAAUCUUGUAAUCCUUGAAGGACCACCAGUGGCGAAGGCGUCUCACCAGAACGGAUCUGACGGCAAGGGACGAAAGCUAGGGGCACGAACCGGAUUGGAUACCCGGGUAGUCCUAGCCGUAAACGAUACUCGCUAGGUGUCAGCCACGGUGCGACCGUGGUUGGUGCCGUAGGGAAGCCGUGAAGCGAGCCACCUGGGAAGUACGGCCGCAAGGCUGAAACUUAAAGGAAUUGGCGGGGGAGCAC
This 534-nucleotide ribosomal RNA is filed under the name uncultured archaeon. Its description in RNAcentral is "bacterial SSU rRNA". It matches the Rfam family "Archaeal small subunit ribosomal RNA", at positions 297 to 879 of the family's 1478-position model. The record is from RNAcentral.